UACGUAGGGUGCAAGCGUUGUCCGGAAUUAUUGGGCGUAAAGAGCUCGUAGGCGGUUCGUCGCGUCGGCUGUGAAAUCCCGAGGCUCAACCUCGGGUCUGCAGUCGAUACGGGCGGACUUGAGUUCGGUAGGGGAGCGGGGAAUUCCUGGUGUAGCGGUGAAAUGCGCAGAUAUCAGGAGGAACACCGGUGGCGAAGGCGCCGCUCUGGGCCGAAACUGACGCUGAGGAGCGAAAGCGUGGGGAGCGAACAGG
This 253-nucleotide ribosomal RNA is filed under the name uncultured bacterium. RNAcentral's name for it is "partial 16S ribosomal RNA". It matches the Rfam family "Bacterial small subunit ribosomal RNA", at positions 524 to 776 of the family's 1533-position model. The record is from RNAcentral.